This 382-nucleotide long non-coding RNA is filed under the name Equus caballus (horse). RNAcentral's name for it is "lncRNA (ENSECAG00000059990.1)". Lineage: Eukaryota; Metazoa; Chordata; Mammalia; Perissodactyla; Equidae. The record is from RNAcentral.
UGGGAGGAAAAGCCAAGGGCAGAGUACUGGAGAGGUGGCUACACCUGUUACACUGACAUCUCACAUUUUGACUCACAGGAUUACAACUCUUGAAUACAAGUUUAAUGAUAGUUGACUGAGUCAAGAAGCCAAAGAACAAGCAAUGUAGGUGAGCUGAUUUGGUCCUGCCUCAUCACACUGAUCUUAUCAAUGAAAGUACAUGCACAGAUUAUUUGCAUAAAUUUGACGGUCGAUUAGGAUUUGAAGAGACUCUACAGUUGAGGCUUCAAAGCUUCACUCCUCGGACUCUUGUCCAGUUUCUACCACUGGGCCUCAUAGUGUUUCCCUCUUUCGUUUUAUAUCUUCUACUUUACUUGGCCACUGAAAUAAAUCAAAUAUGGAU